This 1589-nucleotide ribosomal RNA is filed under the name metagenome. RNAcentral describes it as "bacterial LSU rRNA". It matches the Rfam family "Bacterial large subunit ribosomal RNA", at positions 1339 to 2925 of the family's 2925-position model. The record is from RNAcentral.
AAAUACCUAAGGUUUCCUGAGGAAGGCUCGUCCGCUCAGGGUUAGUCGGGACCUAAGCCGAGGCCGAAAGGCGUAGGCGAUGGACAACAGGUUGAUAUUCCUGUACCACCUCCUCACCAUUUGAGCAAUGGGGGGACGCAGGAGGAUAGGAUAAGCGCGGUAUUGGAUAUCCGCGUCCAAGCAGUUAGGCUGGGAAAUAGGCAAAUCCGUUUCCCAUAAGGCUGAGCUGUGAUGGCGAGCGAAAUAUAGUAGCGAAGUUCCUGAUUCCACACUGCCAAGAAAAGCCUCUAGCGAGGUGAGAGGUGCCCGUACCGCAAACCGACACAGGUAGGCGAGGAGAGAAUCCUAAGGUGAUCGAGAGAACUCUCGUUAAGGAACUCGGCAAAAUGACCCCGUAACUUCGGGAGAAGGGGUGCUCUGUUAGGGUGCAAGCCCGAGAGAGCCGCAGUGAAUAGGCCCAGGCGACUGUUUAGCAAAAACACAGGUCUCUGCGAAGCCGUAAGGCGAAGUAUAGGGGCUGACGCCUGCCCGGUGCUGGAAGGUUAAGAGGAGCGCUUAGCGUAAGCGAAGGUGCGAAUUGAAGCCCCAGUAAACGGCGGCCGUAACUAUAACGGUCCUAAGGUAGCGAAAUUCCUUGUCAGGUAAGUUCCGACCCGCACGAAAGGCGCAACGAUCUGGGCACUGUCUCAACGAGAGACUCGGUGAAAUUAUAGUACCUGUGAAGAUGCAGGUUACCCGCGACAGGACGGAAAGACCCCGUGGAGCUUUACUGCAGCCUGAUAUUGAAUGUUGGUACAGCUUGUACAAGAUAGGUAGGAGCCUUGGAAACCGGAGCGCCAGCUUCGGUGGAGGCAUCGGUGGGAUACUACCCUGGCUGUAUUGACCUUCUAACCCGCCGCCCUUAUCGGGCGGGGAGACAGUGUCAGGUGGGCAGUUUGACUGGGGCGGUCGCCUCCUAAAAGGUAACGGAGGCGCCCAAAGGUUCCCUCAGAAUGGUUGGAAAUCAUUCGCAGAGUGUAAAGGCACAAGGGAGCUUGACUGCGAGACCUACAAGUCGAGCAGGGACGAAAGUCGGGCUUAGUGAUCCGGUGGUUCCGCAUGGAAGGGCCAUCGCUCAACGGAUAAAAGCUACCCCGGGGAUAACAGGCUUAUCUCCCCCAAGAGUCCACAUCGACGGGGAGGUUUGGCACCUCGAUGUCGGCUCAUCGCAUCCUGGGGCUGUAGUCGGUCCCAAGGGUUGGGCUGUUCGCCCAUUAAAGCGGUACGCGAGCUGGGUUCAGAACGUCGUGAGACAGUUCGGUCCCUAUCCGUCGCGGGCGCAGGAAAUUUGAGAGGAGCUGUCCUUAGUACGAGAGGACCGGGAUGGACGCACCGCUGGUGUACCAGUUGUUCUGCCAAGGGCAUCGCUGGGUAGCUAUGUGCGGACGGGAUAAGUGCUGAAAGCAUCUAAGCAUGAAGCCCCCCUCAAGAUGAGAUUUCCCAUUCCGCAAGGAAGUAAGAUCCCUGAAAGAUGAUCAGGUUGAUAGGUCUGAGGUGGAAGUGUGGCGACACAUGGAGCUGACAGAUACUAAUCGAUCGAGGACUUAACC